UACGAAGGGUGCAAGCGUUAUUCGGAUUUACUGGGCGUAAAGCGCGCGCAGGCGGAUGUGCAAGUCAGAUGUGAAAUCUCGGGGCUCAACCCCGAAACUGCGUCUGAAACUGCUCAUCUAGAGUAUCGAAGGGGGAAGUGGAAUUUCGCAUGUAGGGGUAAAAUCCGUAGAGAUGCGAAGGAACACCAGAGGCGAAGGCGACUUCCUGGUCGAUUACUGACGCUGAGGCGCGAAAGCGUGGGGAGCAAACAGG
Molecule: ribosomal RNA, 253 nt
Filed under: uncultured bacterium
Lineage: Bacteria
Description: partial 16S ribosomal RNA
Rfam family: Bacterial small subunit ribosomal RNA
Source: RNAcentral